GGAAUUUUGGACAAUGGACGAAAGUCUGAUCCAGCCAUUCCGCGUGCAGGACGAAGGCCUUCGGGUUGUAAACUGCUUUUGUACGGAACGAAAAAGCUCUUAUUAAUACUAGGAGUCCAUGACGGUACCGUAAGAAUAAGCACCGGCUAACUACGUGCCAGCAGCCGCGGUAAUACGUAGGGUGCAAGCGUUAAUCGGAAUUACUGGGCGUAAAGCGUGCGCAGGCGGUUAUAUAAGACAGAUGUGAAAUCCCCGAGCUUAACUUGGGAACUGCAUUUGUGACUGUAUAGCUAGAGUACGGCAGAGGGGGAUGGAAUUCCGCGUGUAGCAGUGAAAUGCGUAGAUAUGCGGAGGAACACCGAUGGCGAAGGCAAUCCCCUGGGCCUGUACUGACGCUCAUGCACGAAAGCGUGGGGAGCAAACAGGAUUAG
RNAcentral lists this ribosomal RNA (431 nucleotides) under beta proteobacterium SCGC AAA023-F15. RNAcentral's name for it is "bacterial SSU rRNA". It matches the Rfam family "Bacterial small subunit ribosomal RNA", at positions 358 to 781 of the family's 1533-position model. Lineage: Bacteria; Pseudomonadati; Pseudomonadota; Betaproteobacteria. The record is from RNAcentral.